UACGUAGGGCGCAAGCGUUAUCCGGAAUUAUUGGGCGUAAAGAGCUCGUAGGCGGUUUGUCGCGUCUGCCGUGAAAGUCCGGGGCUCAACCCCGGACUUGCAGUGGGUACGGGCAGACUAGAGUGUGGUAGGGGAGACUGGAAUUCCUGGUGUAGCGGUGAAAUGCGCAGAUAUCAGGAGGAACACCGAUGGCGAAGGCAGGUCUCUGGGCCACUACUGACGCUGAGAAGCGAAAGCGUGGGGAGCGAACAGG
Molecule: ribosomal RNA, 253 nt
Filed under: uncultured bacterium
Lineage: Bacteria
Description: partial 16S ribosomal RNA
Rfam family: Bacterial small subunit ribosomal RNA
Source: RNAcentral